Molecule: long non-coding RNA, 1959 nt
Filed under: Homo sapiens (human)
Lineage: Eukaryota; Metazoa; Chordata; Mammalia; Primates; Hominidae
Description: HSALNT0230091
Source: RNAcentral
UCAUUGAUUUCUAUGUAAAUAUGCACAGGUGAUGUCCAUAUAGACAUAAAAAAUAAUAUUUCUGACAGUGGGUCCAUAUGAUCUUCAAAAUGUAAAAUGCCUGUCUGUGUAAUUGACUGGUUAGACUCAUUAAUGAAUAUAGAUUCAAUUCUACUUUCUUGUUGUAGAUAAAUUAUAUAAUCUAGCUUUUCAUUUCACUUUUUUACUGAUAACAACAGGAAGAAUGACAAGAUCUGUAUUUUGGAAAAUUACUCUGGUAGGAGUAAAGAUGAAACAAUGAUAGAAUUGCACGGACAACUAGAAAAAAGUAUGGUCUUCUGAUAUUCUAUCACAUCACAUACUAAAGGCCUCAUAAAACUCAGAUAUUUUAUCUAAAAAUGUUAUUUUCAUCAUAGGAAUGAUAAAAGCAUGAGAGUACAGUUGUAUUAAAAUGUGCUUGUAUCACAAGCACAGGUGCUAAAAAGGAGGGGAAAACAUCCUUACUGAUAUUUUCAAUGUAUGUUUUACUUUUCAUCAACAUGAACCUCAACUUGAUAUGAUGCAGAUUGAAGGAAAUCACCCAUAAUUCCAUAUGAAAAAGGCCUGUGAUAUUUUAUGGGAAAAUAAAUAGAGAAAAUGCUAACGGAAACUCUGUUAAGCAUGAAGCUUUAUGGAGCAAACACAAAUCCAGUGGUGAAAGAUACACACUCGAGUUCUGUUUGUUGUCUUGGAACAAUACGGUUUAGAGGUGACUGGCGGGUGAGGAGAACAUAUGCGAGUUCACCAAAGAGAAAAGCUGAAUGAGGCAAUGCCUCUUCCUGACCAUAUCUCUUACUCAGAUAACUAUAGAAUUUAUUGUCCAGUAAAGGGUAUAUUAAAAAAUCAUAUUAAAAGUCAUGCAGUGAAGUUGUCCAGGGAAAUCAAGACUUAACAGUCUCACUCUGACAAUAAUGAACAGGGGGAUUCCCUCAAGAUAGACUAGGACAUGACCCCACACUGGCAGGUAGUAGUACCAGAAAAGAACGCAUGGAAAAUCUUUACCUUAUGCUUGAGGUAGGGACCAGGCUAAAGUGAAAGCCAGACCUAAAAUUCUAUCUAAAAUAAAUCCACAAUCGAAGAAAAUAUGUGGUGUACAGGCAUAGAAUGUCUUUACUGGAUCAUUGAAAUAGUAAGGUAAAUUGAACUUUUUACAUUGUUUUCUUUUCCUCCAGUUAGGGCUUGAGGUUUGUCUCUGGAGAGUGACUGACAAUUGCAGCCCUGCCUUUCUGGGGUUCUGGUCAGGGGGUUGUGGAUGCUUAACAUGUGCCUUUCACAGGACACUUCCUUACCCCAGCAGUGGCCAGGUGUGCAUCCCACGGCCAGGCCUCCCUCUCACAGAACAUCUGUUGAGACUAGGAGAUGCCUGGUGACUGUUGCCUGACCUGUGUCCUGUGUAUUUCUGACAAGAGCCACUCUCAGAGACCCUGGCCAGGAGGAGAGUUAGGUUCCAGUGUAGGUCAGCUCAGACACAUGGAGGCCACAGAACCAAACAUGGGAAAUCACAGAAGUAGGUUUAUUACUCACAGAUCCAGAGAGAAGAGGGUAGCUGAGAAGAGGGUUUAGCUGUGUCCCCAGCCAAAUCUCAUCUUGAAUUCCCACAUGUUGUGGGAGGGAACAGCUGGGAGGUAAUUGAAUCACGAGGACAGGUCUUUCCCAUGCUGUUCUUCUGAUAGUGAAUAAGUCUCACAAGAUCUGAUGGUUUUAUAAAGGGGAGUUUCCUGCACAAGCUCUCUUGUCUUGUCUGCUGCCAGGUGAGAUGUGUCUUUCGGCUUGUGCCAUGAUUGUGAGGCCUACCCAGCCAUGUGGAACUGUGCAUCUAUUAAACCUCUUUCUUCUGGAAAUUACCCAGUCUUGGGCAUGUCUUUACCGGCGGUGUGAAAAUGGACUAAUAGAGUAGCACACCUCAUAGGGCUGAACAAAAUGGGGAAGAUGAGUGGGGAG